GACGAACGCUGGCGGCGUGCCUAAUACAUGCAAGUAGAACGCACAGUUUAUACCGUAGCUUGCUCCACCAUAAACUGUGAGUUGCGAACGGGUGAGUAACGCGUAGGUAACCUGCCUGGUAGCGGGGGAUAACUAUUGGAAUCGAUAGCUAUUACCACAUAAUAUUGAUUAUUGCAUGAUAAUUGAUUGAAAGAUGCUAUUGCAUCACUACCAGAUGUACCUGCGUUGUAUUAGCUAGUAGGUGAGGUAACGGCUCACCUAGGCGACGAUACAUAGCCGACCUGAGAGGGUGAUCGGCCACACUGGGACUGAGACACGGCCCAGACUCCUACGGGAGGCAGCAGUAGGGAAUCUUCGGCAAUGGACGAAAGUCUGACCGAGCAACGCCGCGGGAGUGAAGAAGGUUUUCGGAUCGUAAAGCUCUGUUGUAAGAGAAGAACGGGGGUGAGAGUGGAAAGUUCACACUGUGACGGUAUCUUACCAGAAAGGGACGGCUAACUACGUG
RNAcentral lists this ribosomal RNA (505 nucleotides) under uncultured bacterium. RNAcentral's name for it is "partial 16S ribosomal RNA". It matches the Rfam family "Bacterial small subunit ribosomal RNA", at positions 28 to 507 of the family's 1533-position model. The record is from RNAcentral.